RNAcentral lists this ribosomal RNA (515 nucleotides) under uncultured bacterium. RNAcentral's name for it is "partial 16S ribosomal RNA". It matches the Rfam family "Bacterial small subunit ribosomal RNA", at positions 28 to 523 of the family's 1533-position model. The record is from RNAcentral.
GAUGAACGCUGGCGGCGUGCCUAAUACAUGCAAGUCGAGCGAAUGGAUUAAGAGCUUGCUCUUAUGAAGUUAGCGGCGGACGGGUGAGUAACACGUGGGUAACCUGCCCAUAAGACUGGGAUAACUCCGGGAAACCGGGGCUAAUACCGGAUAACAUUUUGAACCGCAUGGUUCGAAAUUGAAAGGCGGCUUCGGCUGUCACUUAUGGAUGGACCCGCGUCGCAUUAGCUAGUUGGUGAGGUAACGGCUCACCAAGGCAACGAUGCGUAGCCGACCUGAGAGGGUGAUCGGCCACACUGGGACUGAGACACGGCCCAGACUCCUACGGGAGGCAGCAGUAGGGAAUCUUCCGCAAUGGACGAAAGUCUGACGAAGCAACGCCGCGUGAGUGAUGAAGGCUUUCGGGUCGUAAAACUCUGUUGUUAGGGAAGAACAAGUGCUAGUUGAAUAAGCUGGCACCUUGACGGUACCUAACCAGAAAGCCACGGCUAACUACGUGCCAGCAGCCGCGGUAA